ACCAGGUUUUGGAGCCCAAACUUCAUUUUGGCUCCAAAAACCUGUUUUUGGUGGCGUGUGGAAGACAGCGAAACUGGGUUUCGUUGCAUAAAACCAGGUUCGAACCAGGUUUUGGAAAACCUGCCAUCCCCUGCCUUUUUCAUAUCAAAACAAGGUUUUUGAUGAGCAAGAGCGUCUUGGCAUGGACUUAAAGCUUCUGGUGUUGCUCUGUAGCAGCAUGGGCAGAAACUGGUGCAUCUCCUUGCGAUCAGCAAGGGAGAAUUGUUGGGCGUUUGAUUUGAUGUUCAUUUGCAGUUCGUGAAUCAAUUGCUGCUAUUUAUACCGAUCAGCCCUUCAUUGUGAAGCCAUUGCAAGGCAUUGAUGCAGAAACAAAGGUGUUUGUUGUAGAUCAGAGUAAUGUCUGGAAAAGGUUCUAAAAGGUCGGUUUGGACAAAGCCCAGACUAGUAAGUUUUGUUGAAAAUUUAGACUCUAAUUCUUUAGUAAUUUUAUUUUUGAUACGUUAUAUAUUUCAUUUAUUAUGAUGAAGGUACAAUGAAUGAAGGUGAGAGUCAAUCUCAGGAAUAACAAAUUAGACAAGUUAAUGCUUGGCAUUAUGUGUGAGAAUAUGACUCGUGGAAAGAAAACUGGUGGUGGGUUUGAUGGGACAGGUUGGAAUAAGAUUGUGCACAAGUUCCAUCUUAGAGCCAACAUAAACUAUGAUAAAGAACAACUUAAGAACAGAUUUGGGUCCCUGAGAAAAUUGUACAAUAUUAUGAAAGACAUGUUAAGCUAAAGUGGAUUUGGCUGGGAUCCAAGUACUAGAUGCGUAGAUGUAGCUGAUGAGGUGUGGAAUGAUUACUUACAAGUGAUGAUCAGUUCAUUCUUGUUCUUUAAUAAACUCUUCAUGCUACUUAUGAUGACAAGUAAUUAAAUUAUAUAUUACAAUAGAGCCAUCCUAGUGCUAAAGAUCACCGGAUACGAGUUUCAAAUGUAUAGAUGAAAUGAAUAUUAUUUGUUCAAAUUCAAUAUCUUGUAGCCUUGGAUCAAGUGCAGUGCAUUUAAAUCAAUGCAUAAGCAAAGAAACACCUUACAUACCUUUGACUGAUGAAGAGCACAUCGCCAUUUAUAACACAACUCUAACCACUCCUACAUCUGGUAGUUGGAUCAAAGUUUGGGAUCAUUAAAUCAUAAUGCAAAUGUUGAUAAUGUAGAAGCGAAUGUGAAAGGAUCUGACUUUCAUAGGCCAACUCAAUGAUAAUGUAAAAUAGGUCAUGAAAGGUUUAAUAUAUCUGAUUUAUUAGAUUCUAUUUGACAUUUUGCCUCUUCUUCUAGGGAGAGAAAUAAGAAGAUGGUUAAAUACCAUGAACAAAAAGAAGCUCGACUAGCAUUGCAUGAAUCAAAUGUUACACGUCGUGAAACAUAUUUUGUAACUGCAUGUAUAAAUAAGGUUGUCAAGAUUGAAGAUAAUAGUGAAUUAAUUAUGCAUGCUAUCGAUGCAUUUAAUGUUGAGACUUGUAGCAUUCAUGGCACUUCCUGAGCACCUUCGCAAGAGUUGGUUGUAGCAUCUUAAGAAACAAAAAUAAGGUAUCAUAAAUUAUCUAUUUGAUGUGAUUGAUGUUCAUUUUCAUACGUUAUUGUUUCGUCAUUGGUGAUAAUCUGAUUUAUUUUAUGUUAUCUAUAUAUUGCAAUGUGCAUGUUAUUUACAGAUGUAUCUGUUCGCAUCCCCAAAAUUUCUUUUGGUUUUUGAAGUGUUUUAGAAAAUGAGUUUUUGUUUUGCAAAUGAGAGAGAAAGGGACUUGCCCAUCGGUACGAGAAUCGACCGUUCCCGAUGCAUUUACUAUGCAUAAUAAAUCCAAGGGCUACGCUUAUUCUUGAUGCAUUUCGUUUUGACUUGAACAUUCGUUUUCAUUCUAUAUGCGAUGUAGUGUUUGAGAAAAUGUUGAAGAUUUGAUGUUUCGAACUUUUGAGAAAGUUUUGAAGAAUCUUUUGAGAGGGUAAAACAUUUUGGUUCGAGAAAUUUUGAAUUGAGAAAUCUUUAUAAAUAUUUGAAAAACUUUGGAGAUCACUUUCGAAGUCACUUUAGUGUUCUCUUAAGGCUUUAAGUAGGUUUGAGGACCGUUAAGGAUGAUUUCAAUAUUGGGUCAUUACUUGAUUUUUGGUCUUGGUGAAGUCAAAAAAUAAAAAGAUCUUGAGAGAAAAAUGUUCAAAAGAAUAGAAAAGAUGAAAGACUUGAUCACAAGAGAGAUAUAGAGAAAGAGAGAGAGAGAAAAAGAUCUUGAAAAUCACAAAAUCAAGGAUUUAAGAGAGAGAGAGAGAGAGAGAGAGAGAGAGAGAGAGAGAAAUGCACAUAUACGUGUACAUUUUAUAUCAAAUACACAUAUAUGAAAGUUUAUAAAAAGAGGAUAUUGAUUCGAAGAAAAAGAGAGAUUUUGGAAGAAAAAAAAAAAAAAAAAAAAAAAAAAAAAUAUAUAUAUAUAUAUAUAUAUAUAUAUAUAUAUAAAAUUUGUAGGAGAAGACAUUUAAUUGAAGAGAAAAAUAAAAGACUAUGACAUAUAUAUACGAAUGUGUCUUCAUGAGAUUAGAAAUCCGGAAAUGACUUAAAAUAUCCGACUUCAAUUUUUAUGUAGGCCGGAGAGGAACUUAAGCUCAUGCAAGAACCUAAGCUAAGUCUCCAAAGCUGUAUUAGAAAGGGUAUUUGCUUUUAAAAAUCUUUUGGAAAAGCAUGAUUUCAAAUAUUUUAUAUAUUAACAUGAAACAUUAUUGUUUUGUUUAUUACAAGGGAAUAUAUUUCUUCCACCGUUGGGUAUGGAAGAAAACCAAGCAACAUAAUAAGGCACUCAUUAUGGUUCCUAAUUGGGUGGUUAAGAGGAAAACUAUACGUAAGAAUGACAUGAAAAUGCAUAUUAACAUGUACAUAUUCGUGAGGGUUUUUCCGGGUUGAACAAAUCCCAACUUCAUACAUGAACAUAAUAAUAGAGAAGAAUCUCAGCCCAAACACUCAUUCUCACCGUUCAUUAAUAUAUAAAUAGAAAAAUCAAUCAACUAUGCAUGCAUAAUAUCUCAAAACAAAGUAACACUUAAGAGAAAAGAGAAACAUGUUUUUCUCCUAAAAUGAAAUAAUAUUUCUCCUUCUCACGCUCUCGGUGUACUGAAGAAUAGCUCUUGACUCCGAACAAGAGAUUUGAGAGCUAUCUUACAUGACCAUGGGGAGAUGAAGAAGGGAGAAAGAAAAAUAAAACAAGAACUACAUACCUCUAGUAUCUUCUUAUGCUCUCUUGAAGAGUUGGAACUUUAGUAUCUUCUUAUGCUCUCUUGAAGAGUUGGAACUUGAAGAAGAAGAAGAGGAAGAGAAAUGGAAAAGAAGAAUCAAAUCUUCAAGUGAAGAAUCAUUAGAAAUUCUUCCAAGGGUUAUCCCAUGCCCAAGAGAGAAAAUUGUGGGGGUAUUUAUAGAGAGUUUUGGAGCCAAAACUCAAAAUUUGAUAUUUUUUUUUAAUUUUACAACAUUUUAUAUUUUCUAAAUAGGUUUUGACUAAGUGGAGUUGGCCAUUAGCCCUGCAAAUACCCUUUUGGGGUGUGGGCAGGCUAAUGCCCAUUCAACAAGCCCAAAAUCACCCCCAAGGGGCGGUUUUUCAUCAAAAUGGGAAGCCUUGCCGCACUAGUAUCCAACAGGCACACUCGUGCGUGGCUCUUACUCACGCACGAUGGCGCGCUCGCGUUUACCCAGCCGUGCAGUAGUUCGCGCACGCCGGCGGCCCGGCGCGUUCGUCUUUUUUAAAAAAAAAAACAAGAUAAAAUGAAAUAAAAUCAAAUAUAAUUGAAUAAAAUGCAUAAAUAAUAAAUAAAUAAAGGUUGUUUAUAUAAGAAGCAUAAAAACAUUUUUUUUAUUUAAAAUGUGUAAAAAAAUGAUUUUCGUUACAAAAUGGGUAACUGACUCCGUUUUGAAUGACUCUGGGCUAGUUUUAGAGUUGGAUUGGGUUCAAUUGGUUGCCGACGCCUUCUACUGAAUGGUUCAAAGAUUAGAAACAUAAUUUUGGUGCGAGGACGAGACAUAAAACAAAAGGGAAGGUCAUGCACGUGUGCACGAUGCUCAAUAGCAUUAAAUUUUGGAUUCUGUGUUUGAAAGGCUCGAUUUGGAUUUAGACUGUUAUUUUGGAUCCGAGAAUUGGGUUUUGGAUUUGAAUCUCGCUUUUACAUUUGGGCUUUGACUUUGAAUUUUGUGUUUGUAUUCGGACAAAGGUUUAGAAAUUCAUUUUGGAUCGAAUAAUCGUGAAUUUGUUUUCGGUCUAGGAUUGAGCUUGCGGUUUAAAAAUUUAAAUCCAAAUAACUGAGAAUUUUGUUUGGAUGAAAAUAAAAUACACCCCUUUUGGAAAACUGUGGGGUGAUAACAGAAUCUUACCAUACAUGUUAUUUACAAAUGUAGCUUAUCUAAUUUACAAAAUAUGAAAAGUUCAAGUACAACAACUAAUCGUGAUAUCAAAUACUUUACUAGUAAGACCAACAAAUAUUCUACUGAAGAUGAGUACAAACAAUGCACAGUUGAGAACAUUGUAAUUGGAGCGACGUGUGAAACAACUAUGAAAUUUUUACAUAAACUUCUUAAGCAUGUUUCAAAAUUUUCUGGGCAUCUUAGGUUAAUAGUAUUCUUUUUUACAGUUGGUGUUGUUGCACAUGCAUUUUCAUGGUAAGAGACUAUGAUCCAACUACACGAUACAAUGAUAUAUCGUUUUCCAUCUAAGUAGUGCAGGGUCCAAUGGAAGGAAGGGCAACCAAUCAUUCAAAAUGCAAAGUGUGUGUGGAAGCAAGUAGGUAGGAAUGGAAGCUGUGCUGUAAAUGAUACACUUUAUGGUCACGAACAAUUAUCACGUGACUUAUUUCGUAUGGAUGCACCAAUUUUUUUAUCUCUUACUCACUUGCUGAAAGACAAAGGUAUAUUACGUGAUACAAGAAAUGUAACGGAUGAAGAAUAAUUAGCGAGUUUUAUGAUGGUCAUUGGAUAGAAUAAACGAGAUUAUGUUUUGAAAGACCAUUUUCAACAUUCUAGUGAAACCAUUUUCAAACACUUUCAUGACAUUUUAAAGGGAGCUCUACAAUUAAGUCAUGAGUUUGUAAAGAACCCAAGUGUUAAUAUGCCACCAGAGAUAACAAGUGAUCCAAAGUUUACGCGAUUCAUGGUACCUUUGUAACAUUUAUGAUAUACUAUUGAAAAAUUCAUUUCAUGAUGAAUUUAUUUUAACUUAUUGUACUUCAGUGUGAGGAUUGUAUUGGAGCAAUAGAUGGUCCACACAUUUCAAUGAUUGUUCCAAUAGAAGAUCAAGUUAGAUGUAGAAAUAGAAAAGGAUUCAAUUCACAUAAUGUAAUGUGUGCAUGUACGUUCAAUCUAUGGUUUACUUUUAUUUAUGUGGAUGGAAAGACUCUACAGCUGAUGCAAGAAUAUUAGCUAAACUUUUGGAUAACCGAAGUUUGGGAUUUCCUUCGAUUCUAGAGGGUAAUAUAAUAUCACCCCAUGUUCAUAAGUCUUUGAGUCAAACUUCUGCUUUGAUAACAUUUUUCCUACGUAGGUAAAUUUUACCUUGUUGACUCAAGCUAUGCCAACGCUCUCAAAUUUUAUGCUCCGAUAUGUGGUUAUUCUAUAUCAUUUGAAAGAAUUUACAAAUAGGCGUUCAUUUAAGAAUGAUGAAGAACUAUAUAAUUUUAGACAUUCAUCACUUAGGAAUGCAGUCGAAUGUUGUUUCGGCAUUCUAAAAGCUAGAUUCCCAAUUCUAAAGUUGCAGUUUCAUAUCCUGUUGACACACAAAGUGAUAUAGUUAUUGCAGCUUGUACAUUACAUAAUUAUAUUCGAAUGAAUAACAUUGAUGAUUGGAUAUCGAGAGACUCUGGAGAAAAAUGGAUUCCACCACAAACACAUGAAGAUCAGGCUCCAAGAGAGUGUCCAAUCGAGCACAUAACUCUACAUGCACACGUGAUGCAGCCAAGGCAUUUAGAAAAUCAAUUGCAUGGGAUGAUUAUGUUCAUGAAAGAGAUAGAAUGAAGGUCACAUGAAACAUGAAAAGACACGAAGAUACUAUGUAGUGUUUGAAGGAAGAGUUACUAGCAGUCAACAAGCAUAGUGCACAAUCAAAAUGCCAAGUGCUCAACUGUUAAACUAAUUAUUUGCUCCUCUUUGUUAUGUUUUUCUAUUUAAUAAGGUGACAUGUAACUUUAUCAACUUACUGUGUGUGAAUGUGUUGUGGAUUACAUAUCUAUGAUUAUGCUUAAAUUAGAUGACUUUAUUAUGCUUAAGUACCAUACUACCUAGUGUGCUUAAAGAGCUUGAAGUUAAUAAUCUCCUACUUCCAUUCCAUAUGCGUCACACAAAGCUUGAAUAGGUUUUGGUUAUUGUAGAAAUAAAUAGAUCCAAAUCAAUUUUUUUUUUCUUUUAAGAGUUAGCUAACUGAAAAAGAAAGCAAAAAAGAGCACGAAGGUGUGGGUCCAUAGCAAAAAAAUAAAAGAAGAAAGAAGGAAGGGAAAGAAGGCAAGAAAAAGUAAGAUGAAUGAUGAAAAGGGUAACAAAGGUAUAAUUCUUUAGUUAGUAAGGUUUUCGUCAACCUAUUUCACAUUUUUGAGGUUGAUUCAUGCUCGUCUUGUAAAAUUGCCCACAACUGGAAGAACUAUCAACCUUUGAAUCUUUCAUAGUUGAGGAGGAGGAGGGUUCAGGUAAGGUGCUCUUUUAUGGGCUGGGGGUUAUCCAUUUCGUACCAAUAUAAUUCUCCUCUAGUGCGUUAUGGGUUUCAUCUUGCUUGAUUGAGGUGGUUAUUGCAUAGUCUACAGGCUCAAAGGAAGCAUGAUAGAAAGAUAUUUGCUGUUAAAUUUAUGUUAAAUGCUCUUUAUUUGUUAUUUUUGAUUUCUAAGCUUGCAAGUUAUGUCUGAAUCUAUACAGGUUCUUUUUUAUGAAGUAUAUGAAUACUGAGAACUAUAUGUGUGAUUCCUUUUUCAAUAGAUGAACCUUUGAAUGUUGGCUACUUAUAGAACAUGAUUUCUUAUUAUUUGCCAUUUUGGUUGGCCUUUUUGUGGCUUCCUUGCUUAUUCUUCACAUGGCUUCACCUAUGCAGUACAAUUUCCAUUUUUUCAUUCAUAUUUUUUUUCUCAUUUUCCCAGGUCCUCAUCCUAACGCCCACAUGCAUCAUAUCAACAAUGAGUAAAGGCACUUGAAAGAUUUAGGUCAGUCUGAUUGUGGCCUUGGAUCAGCUUGCUCGUGGCCUUGGAUCAACUGCUGCCCUUGAAUUUUUUGGGUUCAAUAGAAAAUUGGUGAAAUUUAUAAAGCCUAUCAGAAUCUUAAACAGGCAAUUACAUACCUAGAAAAAUCUGCUUGCCUGUUCCAGAGUGAAGAAGUGUCAACUUCUACAAUCUGUGGAAAACAUCACUGCUGUUGAAGGCAACAAACAAAUUGAAAGACAUGGAUGAGGAGGACGAUCAUGUCCUUUGCUUCUUGUGGCCAUAGGGAAAAGGUUGUUGCAUGGAGCUGUUUGGAGGCAAUCAAUAUUUAUCAUGAUUGUAUAAUUUUUAUACCCAACUUCUAAUUUUUGUGCUCAAAUUCUAAGGAAGAAUGCUUUGUAACUUUUGGUACUAACUAUAUAAUGCUAUUGGUUGUUGACACA
Molecule: long non-coding RNA, 7614 nt
Organism: Nymphaea colorata (pocket water lily)
Lineage: Eukaryota; Viridiplantae; Streptophyta; Magnoliopsida; Nymphaeales; Nymphaeaceae
Exons: 5
Source: RefSeq, a predicted model, not a curated record